Molecule: ribosomal RNA, 118 nt
Filed under: Pteropus alecto (black flying fox)
Lineage: Eukaryota; Metazoa; Chordata; Mammalia; Chiroptera; Pteropodidae
Source: RNAcentral
GUCUAUGGUCAUGCCACCAUAACACGCCCAAACCUGUCUGAUCUCAGAAGCUAAGCAGGGCCGGGCCUGGUUAGCACUUGGAUGGGAGACUACCUAGGAAGACCAGAUGCUGUAGGCA